This is a long non-coding RNA of Daktulosphaira vitifoliae (grape phylloxera), 1524 nucleotides long. RefSeq lists it as uncharacterized. NCBI's taxonomy places the organism in Eukaryota, Metazoa, Arthropoda, Insecta, Hemiptera, Phylloxeridae. The record is from RefSeq and is a predicted model, not a curated record. The transcript is spliced from 3 exons.
CGUUAUUUUUUAUGUUUUUGUAAAGGAACUAUUUUUCAAAAUACUUUAAUAUAGAUCUGUUUUGCAGGUCAUUUUUACAUCAAUCAAGGAUUACAUUGUAUAUUUUUGUGUAUAAUUAAUUAUAUAAUACUGAAAAAAAAACAAUAUGGUCGUAAUUAUAUAGUAGAAUAUUUUUAAUUGCUUCAUGUUUCUACACGAGGAACGAGACCCAUAGAACAGCAAGUGAAAUACUAAAGAUGCGUUAAAUGGAUAACUAUUAUUCAAAACUUGGAUAGGCGUGUCCGAAGAGGAUACACGCAUAUAUAAUGUAUUUCUUUACCUACCGCCGUGUAACUAUAGUAACACUCAACAUUUAUUUGGAAAAAACAUUCAUUUAAAUUUAAUAUUUAAUAUACUAACAUAAUAAAUAAUAUUGCCUAAAACAUUAGAAAGGGUACUUCAUUUUCUAGAAAUUUAGACUACUGCAUCACUAUUACUUUUUCAAUUUAAUAAUAGAUUUUAGUGAGAUGUUUUAAACGGAAUGCUGUAUAAAUUUCUAUGCUUACAAUCAUCUUUAUGUUUAUAAAUGAUGCAAGCUUUAAUGAAAAUGUGUAUAAAUUAAAUGUUAAAACAAACUCGAAUUCAUUGUACUUGAAUACUUAUUAAAAAUAUUUAUAAUAUUUUAGCGGUUAAAAUAAGUAAAAUUUUAGGAAUGCUCAGCAUAAUUAUUAAAUUAUUUAUUAAGGCAUAGAUGCUAGUUGUGGCUCGUGGGUGCUGGUGGUGGGGGUGCGACUUUAAAUAUAAUAUCGCUAGUUAUAGGUAUAAAAAAUUGUCAAAUUAAAUAUAAUAAAAUAAAACACAAUACACAUAUUAUUAUUUUAAAUGUCGCAGUAGAAAAUAGAAAUGAAAACAAUAAUAAUAGCGAUUACACUAUUAGAGCAACCGAUUGGCGCCGUUUUCCGUUCCAUGAAAUUCGGAAAAUCGCAAAAGUAUUAAAACGGAGGCUCCGGAAAAUUUGCGCGCAGGUCAGAAAAGACGCGAAACGAUAAGCGCCGUCGAAGAGUACCGGUUUCGAGACCGCAGAAGAAAAACGGUAAUUUUUGAUCGAGAGGAAACGUAAAAUUCUUCCAGGUGGCUCAUAUUUUGAGGGGCUUACGAAAUUGGAGUAUAGAGCGACAUAACGACGAGCGUACACUAGGGAGUGCGAUCGUCCCGUCGUCCAAGCCACGAUCCGUCACUGAUAAAUGCCAUUAGGGAGAUACCCCUCCGAAAAAAUUUGAUACGUACAAGCCAUGCAAAGCUUAAACGGCUGAACAAAUUAAAUGAAUUGUACAAGUUUAAACGAAAAUUUAUUUUACGCGUAUAAGAGCGAUGGAAGUGUUUUUGUAAUUGAAAUACAUUAUAUAAAAGCUAAAAAUAGAACACGUAUAAUAGUAUGACGGUUAGCAUGUUACAGUAAUAUUUCAUAAGUAGAAUUUUGUACGCGACGUCUUAUAAAUUUUAUAUCAUUUCAAACAUCUAAUGAUUAGGUACAAACAGAUGAAA